GUCAGCGAAAUCUUGGACAACACGAGCCACUAUCAAUAUAUACUCUCUAAAACCCUGUACCCAGAUCUAAACCCUUGGAUCUUUGGGCGAUAUCUAAAAUCUUUUAUUAUUAGAAGGUUUGAAGCCUCAGAGAUGGGAAUUAUUAGAAGCGGUUUCUCCUUCAUUGCAGGGACGGUGUUUGGCAUCUACCUUGCUCAAAAUUACGACGUUCCAAACAUUAGAAAGCUGACGAACACCGGCCUCUUAAUAGCCAAGCACAUCGAGGAAACUUACAGGAAGCCCAAGAAGCGAGACGAGGAUGAUUGAUUUGAUUUUGGCUUUAGAUUCCAGGUUCUUACAUUACUGUUUUGAGGGAUUUUGGGGGUUCUUGUAGGCUCAAGUUUCUAACCUUUGUUGGGCACUUAUUGGCUUUCAUUUUGAUCUCUGUAUUUGUGCCUGUGAAAUUCAAUAUGGUUCAAGAAAGCAG
Molecule: unclassified non-coding RNA, 466 nt
Filed under: Hevea brasiliensis (rubber tree)
Lineage: Eukaryota; Viridiplantae; Streptophyta; Magnoliopsida; Malpighiales; Euphorbiaceae
Source: RNAcentral